UACGAAGGGUGCUAGCGUUGUUCGGAAUCACUGGGUUUAAAGGGUGCGUAGGCGGCUCGGUAAGUCAGUUGUGAAAGCCCCUUGCUUAACGAGGGAGGUGCGAUUGAUACUGUCGAGCUUGAAUCGGGAUGAGGCAGGCGGAAUGUGGCAUGUAGCGGUGAAAUGCAUAGAUAUGCCAUAGAACACCGAUUGCGAAGGCAGCCUGCUGGGCCUGUAUUGACGCUGAGGCACGAAAGCGUGGGGAGCAAACAGG
RNAcentral lists this ribosomal RNA (253 nucleotides) under uncultured bacterium. RNAcentral describes it as "partial 16S ribosomal RNA". It matches the Rfam family "Bacterial small subunit ribosomal RNA", at positions 524 to 776 of the family's 1533-position model. The record is from RNAcentral.